Long non-coding RNA from Clupea harengus (Atlantic herring), 1629 nucleotides. Lineage: Eukaryota; Metazoa; Chordata; Actinopteri; Clupeiformes; Clupeidae. The record is from Ensembl.
UUGAUACAACAAACUCAUUUUACUUCCUCGUUUCGUUUUACUUCCUGGGGUUAUUGUGGGUUAUCGUUGCUAGCAGAACGGAACUUUGGAACUCUGUGUCGUUUUUGGGAAGUAACCUCUUGACGUCAGUGUUGCGAACUUAGCGACUUUGUCACUAUAUCUGGCGACUUUCUAGACCCCCUUGGCGACUUAAUUAGCAAAAAGCCACUAGCGACAAAUCUAGCGACUUCUUUUUGUCAUUUGGUGGAUUAUUGUGUUGACAAAGCAUUGAAAAAGCAUCUCGCAUAUCGCGUUCUGCAGUUCACGUUACAACCGAUCUCGAGUAGCCUACCUACAGCGAGGGCUGUCGUCGUCUCCUCUCCACUCACACAGCGCCUGCGCGGCCAGUCUGACUAGCUCUCAGCAAAAUAUUAGAACUUUGUAUUCGCGGGAAAAAUAUUAGAACUUUGUAUUCGUGCGCAAAUUGUACCUCUCUUAAAUUGCAUAUUAUGCAAAUUAGUUGAUUACUUCAUCGAGCGACUUUUGGGAGAGCUAACAGCUACUUUCCUUACUGAAAAGUUGGCAACACUUGACGUUCGCGUCGUGACGUUCUAAGCCUCGUUAAAGCGCUGGUUCAAGAAAAGAUUGAACUUAUGUGCAAGGCUUCGACUAUUUCUCUCCAAUGCAUCAUACAUUGAUUGCCAGCAAAGUGUAGAUAACUAAUAUAUCCAGCUUGUAGCCUAAGUUCCCAUGAAAAUAUAACAUAAGCCGAAUAUUUAUGUUGUUAAUAUCUCAUGUUGCCACGAUCAUUUCGCAAUACAUUAUAAAGGCAGGCAUGGCCACAGUCCUUGCAUUUGAAUGAAAAUAACUAGAUACGUGAAGAGUUUCUUUGCAAAAUAACACAAAUGUUUAAAAUGAACAAUUUAUUUUAAAGAAUAACAAAAUAAGAAUGACAUUUAAAUUUUACUGAAAUACUGCUCGUGUUUCCAGCCCAUAUACAUUGUUUUCAAAGCAUUUGAAUGUGGAGUGUGUUUAAUCUAAUAAAAUGCUGUUGGCAACAUGAUUGGACAGUGUAAUUGAUUGCAAGCUAACUAAGAUUUAGUUUUCAAGGUUUCACAUUUUCAGUGCUUAUUGGCAUGAGAUUGACAAAGACUGAUCAAACUUUUUGUCAUGAGAUGAAUUUAUUUGGGUGCUAGCCUGAGACAGGACAGGUCGAUGACUUUGGGCAUCUGGAAAAACUAGUAAUCUCUAUGAGACUGGGAUAACAUAUCUUCCCCGGUUUCUUUGUCGCCUCUGCCAUGAUGUCCAUGCAGAGAAUAUUGUGCUAGCUUCCUCUAAUAGCUAGCGCAAGGAUCUAGUUGUUGUUGGGUGAAGUGGUGCCAUAAAGCAUUACAUAGUUCUCGUGAGAGGUCUCGUGCCCUGUACCCCAAAGUUACAUAGUGCAAUACCAGGUGCAUCAGGUGUGCUGUGGCAGUGGCACUGGUGCCAUUCUCGGUGUACCACCAAAAUUAUCUCGAAGCUGUUAUUGAAGGUAAAAUUGUUGCAUAAUGUUACUUUAAUGAAUUAGGCCCUUGCUAAGCUAAGCCAUAGGUUAUCACAAUCAGCGCUGCCACCAUGCAGAGACUCGUAUCAUAUUUCCAUUGACUAGCA